This is a long non-coding RNA of Girardinichthys multiradiatus, 389 nucleotides long. RefSeq lists it as uncharacterized. The record is from RefSeq and is a predicted model, not a curated record. The transcript has 3 exons. NCBI's taxonomy places the organism in Eukaryota, Metazoa, Chordata, Actinopteri, Cyprinodontiformes, Goodeidae.
GCGAAAAGGCACCUAAGCUGAUGAUCCUGUUUGCUGCUUUGAAAUUUACUGAGAAAUCUUCCAUUUGAAUCUUUUACACUGAGGGCUGAGUACGCAUUGAAGGAAGCUGCAGGAAACGGCGACUUAUCUAUUGUUGGGCAGAGAAGAACUCCCUGAAAUGCACUCAGCUGAUUAAUUUUAUGUGUCCUCUGCAGCACGGCAGAAAAGCGAAGUCCCACGUGAACGAAGGGAGCCAAAUUAGGGGUCAUCGGGGAGCUGGUGCCUAUCUCCAGCAAUCAUUGGGCAAGAGGCAGGGCAUUCCCUGGACAAGUCAUCAGUCUAUCACAGGGCAACACAGGACAAACAAUCAUGUGCACACACACACACACACACACACACACACACACACA